This is a small nuclear RNA of Lampris incognitus (smalleye Pacific opah), 107 nucleotides long. NCBI's taxonomy places the organism in Eukaryota, Metazoa, Chordata, Actinopteri, Lampriformes, Lampridae. The record is from RefSeq and is a predicted model, not a curated record.
UGUAACUUGAGCAUUUAUGAAUUAUAUAUUUGGCUAAAAUACAGAGAAGGUUAGCAUGGCCCCUGCGCAAGGAUGACGCGCAUAUUCGUGAAGCGCUCCACAUUUUU